UUAGAGAGGGUCUGUGCCUGGAGCUGGAGGGGAGGAUGGUCAGGAGGACAGAGGGUAACACCGAUGGCUCAGUCAUGGGUGGAAAUGCCUCGGCUGAAGGCCCUGAGGGAUCGAAAGAGCACA
Long non-coding RNA from Lynx canadensis (Canada lynx), 123 nucleotides. RefSeq lists it as uncharacterized. Lineage: Eukaryota; Metazoa; Chordata; Mammalia; Carnivora; Felidae. The transcript is spliced from 3 exons. The record is from RefSeq and is a predicted model, not a curated record.